GUUUGACAGUGAUGUAAGUCGCUCUGGAUAAGAGCGUCUGCUAAAUGACGUAAA
This is a non-coding RNA of Salmo salar (Atlantic salmon), 54 nucleotides long. The record is from Rfam. Lineage: Eukaryota; Metazoa; Chordata; Actinopteri; Salmoniformes; Salmonidae.